This is a non-coding RNA of Cinara cedri, 291 nucleotides long. NCBI's taxonomy places the organism in Eukaryota, Metazoa, Arthropoda, Insecta, Hemiptera, Aphididae. The record is from the annotation of a GenBank genome assembly.
GCUUAUUGAAUAAUUUCGGGUGGUGGCCCGUGAGUUACAUAAUAGACAGGUCGUUCGUUUACAAAAUAAUUAUUUAUAUAUUAUAAUGAUAAAAUCUAGAAAAUACAAUUUUUUUCAGAUAAAUAUUUUUAUUUUUUAUUCAAUAGAAUUAUAGACAAAGUGCGAUACUGUUACAAUUGCUUGUUCUAAAUUUUUAGCAGGUUUAAAAUCAAAUUGUGUUUUUGUUAAUAAAUUGUUUUAUUCAAGAUACGUUACUUAGUCAUAUUUUAUAUAUUUCUCAAUAUUAGCAAG